Molecule: non-coding RNA, 29 nt
Filed under: Homo sapiens (human)
Lineage: Eukaryota; Metazoa; Chordata; Mammalia; Primates; Hominidae
Source: RNAcentral
UACAGAGCACACAUAAGUGUCUGCCGUGA